Molecule: transfer RNA, 70 nt
Filed under: Sphaerodactylus townsendi
Lineage: Eukaryota; Metazoa; Chordata; Lepidosauria; Squamata; Sphaerodactylidae
Description: tRNA-Ala
Rfam family: tRNA (bases 5-61)
About the family: Transfer RNA (tRNA) molecules are approximately 80 nucleotides in length. Their secondary structure includes four short double-helical elements and three loops (D, anti-codon, and T loops).
Source: RNAcentral
GCCAUGGCUCAGUGGUAGAGCAUCUGCUUGGCACGCAGACGUUUCCAGGUUCAAUCCCCAGCAUUUCCCA